CGUAGCCGCGGUAACACCAGCACCUCGAGUGGUCAGGAGGUUUAUUGGGCCUAAAGCAUCCGUAGCCGGUUGCAUAAGUUUUCGGUUAAAUCUAUGCGCUUAACGUAUAGGCCGCCGAAAAUACUGUGCAGCUAGGGAGUGGGAGAGGUACACGGUACUCGAUAGGAAGGGGUAAAAUCCUUUGAUCUAUUGAUGACCACCUGUGGCGAAGGCGGUGUACCGGAACACGUUCGACGGUGAGGGAUGAAAGCUGGGGGAGCAAACCGGAUUAGAGACCCGCGUAGUCCCUGUCUCUUAUACC
RNAcentral lists this ribosomal RNA (301 nucleotides) under uncultured bacterium. RNAcentral describes it as "partial 16S ribosomal RNA". It matches the Rfam family "Archaeal small subunit ribosomal RNA", at positions 460 to 761 of the family's 1478-position model. The record is from RNAcentral.